AAUGCAGGAGAUGAUAUUUUCUUGUGUGAGUAUGAAUAUGACAUUCAUUGGCACACUUUCAAGCGAAUGGCUGAGAUU
This 78-nucleotide small nucleolar RNA is filed under the name Manihot esculenta (cassava). RNAcentral describes it as "Small nucleolar RNA snoR28". It matches the Rfam family "Small nucleolar RNA snoR28". From Rfam's summary of the family: R28 is a member of the C/D class of snoRNA which contain the C (UGAUGA) and D (CUGA) box motifs. The record is from Rfam by way of RNAcentral. Lineage: Eukaryota; Viridiplantae; Streptophyta; Magnoliopsida; Malpighiales; Euphorbiaceae.